AUUGAACGCUGGCGGCAUGCUUUACACAUGCAAGUCGAACGGUAACAGGCCUUCGGGUGCUGACGAGUGGCGAACGGGUGAGUAAUGCAUCGGAACGUGCCCAGAGGUGGGGGAUAACGCAGCGAAAGCUGUGCUAAUACCGCAUGUGAUCUGAGGAUGAAAGCGGGGGACCAGGCAGCAAUGUUUGGCCUCGCGCCUUUGGAGCGGCCGAUGUCAGAUUAGGUAGUUGGUGGGGUAAAGGCCUACCAAGCCGACGAUCUGUAGCUGGUCUGAGAGGACGACCAGCCACACUGGGACUGAGACACGGCCCAGACUCCUACGGGAGGCAGCAGUGGGGAAUUUUGGACAAUGGGCGCAAGCCUGAUCCAGCAAUGCCGCGUGCGGGAAGAAGGCCUUCGGGUUGUGAACCGCUUUUGUACGGAACGAAAAGGCUCUGGCUAAUACCUGGGGCUGAUGACGGUACCGUAAGAAUAAGCACCGGCUAACUACGUG
Molecule: ribosomal RNA, 492 nt
Filed under: uncultured bacterium
Lineage: Bacteria
Description: partial 16S ribosomal RNA
Rfam family: Bacterial small subunit ribosomal RNA
Source: RNAcentral